This 360-nucleotide ribosomal RNA is filed under the name uncultured eukaryote. Its description in RNAcentral is "partial 18S ribosomal RNA". It matches the Rfam family "Eukaryotic small subunit ribosomal RNA", at positions 1470 to 1796 of the family's 1831-position model. The record is from RNAcentral.
CCCUUAGAUAUCCUGGGCUGCACGCGCGCUACAAUGGAUAUAAGAAAAAGUAUGCUAAUGUUAUUGUAGUUUUACACUAUAAUAUGGUCCUGAUUUGAAAAGAUUGGUAAUCUUAUUGAACUAUAUCCUUGCUUGGGAUAGACACUUGUAAUUAUUUGUCUUGAACGAGGAAUUCCUAGUAAACGCAAAUCAUCAGUUUGCAUUGAUUACGUCCCUGCCCUUUGUACACACCGCCCGUCGCACCUACCGAUGGUUUUUAAUGUGAAAAUUUCUGACUGCUUGAUGUCAUGCUUUUGUGUAUGGUAUUGGAGUUGAAUGUGAUUUGAAUUUUAAAAAUUAGAGGAAGGUGAAGUCGUAACA